GGUGGCUCAGUGGUAGAGUGCUUGCCUUGCAUGCAGGAGGCCCUGGGUUCAAUUCCUCAGUACCA
This 65-nucleotide transfer RNA is filed under the name Dipodomys ordii (Ord's kangaroo rat). It matches the Rfam family "tRNA". From Rfam's summary of the family: Transfer RNA (tRNA) molecules are approximately 80 nucleotides in length. Their secondary structure includes four short double-helical elements and three loops (D, anti-codon, and T loops). The record is from Rfam by way of RNAcentral. Lineage: Eukaryota; Metazoa; Chordata; Mammalia; Rodentia; Heteromyidae.